This 73-nucleotide transfer RNA is filed under the name Ixodes scapularis (black-legged tick). It matches the Rfam family "tRNA". From Rfam's summary of the family: Transfer RNA (tRNA) molecules are approximately 80 nucleotides in length. Their secondary structure includes four short double-helical elements and three loops (D, anti-codon, and T loops). The record is from Rfam by way of RNAcentral. Lineage: Eukaryota; Metazoa; Arthropoda; Arachnida; Ixodida; Ixodidae.
GCCUGGUCAGCUCAGUUGGUAAAGCGCUCCACCGGAAAUGAAGUGAUCCCUGGUUCGAUACGUGGACCAGGCG